RNAcentral lists this long non-coding RNA (529 nucleotides) under Phasianus colchicus (ring-necked pheasant). RNAcentral describes it as "lncRNA (ENSPCLG00000011918.1)". Lineage: Eukaryota; Metazoa; Chordata; Aves; Galliformes; Phasianidae. The record is from RNAcentral.
GUAAAUGCUGUAAUGACUUAAAGGCAGGUGGCUGUUGUCAGCUGAGCAGGAUGAUCCUGAACAGAGGUGUCCUUUGCGGCAGGACGUGGCUCCUCAACCUGGGCUCUGCCAUUCCACAGACCAUCCUGACUGCAGCAUAGCUCUUGCUGCAGCUCCAUCAUGUUUUGUCAAGUUCAGUGAGGCUAUCUGGACCGAGUCUUUUGGCUUGAGGUCUGUGACAUGGUGAGGUAAAAGAAGGGCUGCAUUUACCAGAGUGCCAGAGCAGAGGAACACCCGCUACAUGCAGUGGUUGGAGACCUUGAGUGGGAGGUGGUGAAUUAUUGUUUCUGCUGGAGAGAGUUUUUAACCACAUGCCUUCCCCUUCGGGCUAUUGCUCAAACCACUGUAUUUUUGAAUUUUGCUCCUCAACAUUUGUAAUUGCUUAGGGCAUACUGAUGCAGAUCUGAGCUUAUUAGCACCUCUGUUAAAGACAUCCAUCUUUACUUAAAGUAAUAAUAAAAUAUAAGAGUCUGGUGCUCCUGUGUUUUCA